This is an RNA transcript of Coregonus clupeaformis (lake whitefish), 2849 nucleotides long. It is a transcript of the gene named heparan-sulfate 6-O-sulfotransferase 1-B, with no coding region annotated. The transcript is spliced from 3 exons. Lineage: Eukaryota; Metazoa; Chordata; Actinopteri; Salmoniformes; Salmonidae. The record is from RefSeq and is a predicted model, not a curated record.
AACAGUGUAGAGAGGGAAGACUAUUCGAAUGCUGCUUACUUUGCUAAGAAGCGAACAGUUCUUCUGCACGAGCUGAGAGUACAGUGUCUGUCGGCGUAGCAGGGUUCAAAGUUGCAUUUGAUCCGCAGUUUUGGAUUUUUGCCAACUCGGAUUGAGCUUGCUAUGUGAAAGCGGGAGAGAUACAAUGUAUCCAAGCCUGAACUCUCAUUGCUCUGUGGUCCUCUGACGAGAUAAAACCCCACUGUCUAUGGAGGGACAAACCAAGAGCGCAACGCUCAGGUACCAAGUACCCCCAUUUCGGUUAUCUGGGAGAUGGUAACAAAUGAACGGCACUGGAGGGAUCAUGGUUGAGAGGACCAGCAAAUUUUUGUUGAUCGUCGUCGGAUCCGUCUUCUUCAUGCUGAUUUUAUAUCAGUACGUGGCUCCUGGAGUGAUGAACUUCGGGUCUCCACUGGGGUACCUCGCCGAGGACAACAUGGAUAUUUUCCCUACUCCUGAUCCCCAUUAUGUGAAAAAGUACUACUUCCCUGUCAGAGACUUGGAACGCACCGUUGAUUUCGAGAUCAAGGGUGAAGACGUGAUAGUGUUUCUUCACAUACAGAAAACUGGCGGAACCACUUUUGGCAGGCAUCUGGUGCAAAAUGUUAGACUAGAAGUCCCGUGUGAUUGCAGACCAGGGCAGAAAAAGUGUACAUGCUACCGUCCCAACAGAAAGGAGACCUGGCUGUUUUCGAGGUUCUCCACUGGCUGGAGUUGCGGGUUACAUGCAGAUUGGACCGAGCUCACAAACUGCGUUCCUGGAGUGCUCAACAAGAAGGAAAACAAAUCGAAAAAACUGAGGAAGUUCUACUACAUCACCCUGCUGAGGGACCCCGUGUCACGCUACCUGAGCGAGUGGCGCCACGUGCAGCGCGGUGCCACCUGGAAGACGUCCCUCCACAUGUGCGAUGGGCGCACGCCCACGCCCGAGGAGCUGCCGCCGUGCUACGAGGGUACGGACUGGUCCGGCUGCACCCUGCAGCAGUUCAUGGACUGCCCCUACAACCUGGCCAACAACCGGCAGGUGCGCAUGCUUGCCGACCUCAGCCUGGUGGGCUGCUACAACCUGUCCACGGUGCCCGAUAAGCGGCGCUCGCAACUUCUCCUCGAGUCGGCCAAGAAGAACCUGCGCGACAUGGCCUUCUUCGGUCUGACUGAGUAUCAGCGCAAGACGCAGUUCCUGUUCGAGCGCACCUUCCGUCUGCGCUUCAUCCGGCCCUUUGUGCAGUACAACAGCACGCGGGCGGCCGGCGUGGACCUGGACAACGACACGGUGGCGCGCAUCGAGGAGCUCAACGACCUGGACAUGCAGCUGUAUGACUAUGCUCGCGACCUCUUCCAGCAGCGCUACCAGUACACUCGGCAGCUGGAGAGACGUGCACACCGCUUGGCGCUUCGGGGUCGCGGUCUCGACCCCCGGGAUUUUCUCAGAGAUGAGGGCGGUAUGGGGGGCGAAGGGACAGCCAGGCUGCCCACAGAGGACUACAUGAACCACAUCAUCAACAGGUGGUAGCCUCUACCCCAUCCCACCCCAACCACCCACCUAGACACCCACUUUCCUGACCUCCCCAUUGUCUGGUAUGGUGAGGUUGCAUCAGAGUGAAUGUUUAGGGAAGUUGAAAUUUGACACUUGUGGUUUGGGAGGGAGACAGUUGCAGAGGAUUGGGUGCUGCAGUGGCUUACCUAUGGACUUUGCAUGAGGCAAGCUGUGGGUUGCGGACCAGAUUUCCCUUCCAGCUCGUGGAUGACAUAGACGUUUUGGUCUUCUUAGACUAUGUGGAGAGGUCAGAUCUUUGUGAUUGCAAGCCUCAUGAUAAACCUGAGUCACCCUCUGGAGUUCUGGAAGCAGCAACUGUCUCUACACUCCUCAGAUUUUCCUUUACAAAAAUGGACCGGGCAGCUUCCUGAAAACUGCGCUGAGAUCAACCUCUCUUGGAGCGAGGCACAGCAUGUUGCCAAGGAUGAAAGACAUGGGAGCACAUUGUGGUCAUGUCCCAUAGGGGAUGAAGAGGGUAGAUUAGGUAAGUAUUGGUUGUUUCAGUUCACACAUAAAUGACCUCAUCAAUGACUGGCAAUGAUAAGGAUGAGGCUGCUAAUUCAUAAUAAUAAUAUCGUGGUAGCAUCUCUAUGAAAUUUUUUCAAAAGCUACAUAGCCUAUUUCAUUUGAUAGACAUAUAAGUAAUUCCCUUUAUGAAUGAUGUCCACCCAAAUUGUGGCCAGAUGGAAUUUUUUAAAUUAUUCAAACAUCUUCCAAGCAAGAGGCAUAGCAGACAAUCACUCUGGCCUUUCACCAUUUUGUCAGGCAGGCUCAUUGACAAGGUAAGUUAACGCUUAAGCUUAAAUUAAUAAUCAGUAGAUGAAGGAGUUGUUUUCGAUUGAGAACAGGGCUUUACAGUGUCAUCUGCAAGAAGCCAGGAAACGUUUUGAGAAUGUGUACAGUUGUGUUGGAAACAGAGAGGGUAUUUGGAUAAUGACAUUCUCUCCCUGUCCCUGCAGAGCCAGGCAAACAAAUGGCAACAGCUGGCCAGGUUUAACCCGGGGUGAAAUCUGCUCGAGUUGAGCUCCACAUGAAGCACAGCUGAGGGCAUACCAAGGUCACAUUCAAUCACCCACUAUAUAUAAUUAUUCUCUACAGAAAGACAUUGCAUUAACAAUGUAUAAAAGCACUGCCACAAAACACACAACAGCACCACAUUAGCCAUUCUCUUGGUAUACUGGUAGCGUGUUCUCUGUUGUGUUUAUGUUUUGUUUGUUUUCUGUAGCUCAAUUGGUAGAGCAUGGCGCUUGUAAUGCCAGGGUAGUGGGUUCGA